RNAcentral lists this long non-coding RNA (798 nucleotides) under Penaeus japonicus. RNAcentral describes it as "uncharacterized LOC122251140". Lineage: Eukaryota; Metazoa; Arthropoda; Malacostraca; Decapoda; Penaeidae. The record is from RNAcentral.
GGUCAGGCAGGGCAUGCGGGAAGAGUGCCGUCCCAGCAGCUACCGUGAAGCUCCAGGCUAGAGCCGAUCGGUCUCUCUGGCUCAGUGUUGUUCCCACCGCCACACGGAGUGGGUGUGCACGCUCUCCUCUUGGGGAAUUGUCGCUCUCUGUAAUAACUUUGUGUGAUUCUCUACCUCGUGUGAGACACUUUGAUAUUGAAUGUGAAUGAUGAACUGAGCUUUAGCUUUGUCCUUUGAUGGAAAAAUGGUAGUGGUUUGGCAUUUAUUUAGGCAAACAUGACAGUACAUAACGGAAACUCGCAAGUAUUACCUAUACUUUUGUAAGUGUACUGUUUACAUAGAUUUGAUCCCUGGAAAAAAAAAAUAAAGAUACAAAAAAUAAAGAAUUGUACGCCUUUCCUUUUUCUUUUUCUCUCGCCCGUGCUCGGUAAUUAGUUAAGUGAACAGCUUGAACUCGCGUAAGCUGUCGCUGAGCGUCGCCAGGUCUGGAACUUUGAUGUAAUUUGUUCCGGGAAGUGUUUGAUCACGGCCUCAAGAUCAAUCGAGGCGUAUUUCUACACACUGAUUGUGACGUCUUCUCAUUCCUGGUAAGUUCUAAGCUGAUGAAGAUGGAAAGGAAGAAGCGAGGAACGAUAACAAAGGAAAAAGAAAGGAGAAAAUUGUACAUAAAGUAGAUUAGGUAAUGGAGAUGUUGGAGAGAGGAUGGUAAGGGUGAUUAUAAUUAUGAUAGAAUAGUAAUGGUAAUUAAUGAUGGUAACGAUAAUAGUGAUGAUAUGAAAGUAAUGAUGAUGAUGAUGG